AACGAACGCUGGCGGCAGGCUUAACACAUGCAAGUCGAACGCCCCGCAAGGGGAGUAGCAGACGGGUGAGUAACGCGUGGGAAUCUACCCAUCUCUGCGGAAUAGCUCUGGGAAGCUGGAAUUAAUACCGCAUACGCCCUACGGGGGAAAGAUUUAUCGGGGAUGGAUGAGCCCGCGUUGGAUUAGCUAGUUGGUGGGGUAAAGGCCUACCAAGGCGACGAUCCAUAGCUGGUCUGAGAGGAUGAUCAGCCACAUUGGGACUGAGACACGGCCCAAACUCCUACGGGAGGCAGCAGUGGGGAAUAUUGGACAAUGGGCGCAAGCCUGAUCCAGCCAUGCCGCGUGAGUGAUGAAGGCCUUAGGGUUGUAAAGCUCUUUCACCGAUGAAGAUAAUGACGGUAGUCGGAGAAGAAGCCCCGGCUAACUUCGUGCCAGCAGCCGCCGUAA
This 447-nucleotide ribosomal RNA is filed under the name uncultured bacterium. RNAcentral describes it as "partial 16S ribosomal RNA". It matches the Rfam family "Bacterial small subunit ribosomal RNA", at positions 29 to 523 of the family's 1533-position model. The record is from RNAcentral.